AAUAAAAAUUUAGGGAAAUAGUAGUAGUAAGUAACCGCUUCCCUUUGGCAUCAAUCACCGUCAAAACAUCUCUCUAAAUGCUUUGCUGCAAAAAUUUCUUCUCAUGUGUACGGGUAAGUGAGCCACCAAAUCAAAAUCCAAACUAGAAGCUUAGAAGAAAAACCAAUAUGAUAUUAAAUUGGUAAAUAUUCAAGCAAAAUUCCAUUGUGACCAUUGAACGAAAACUUCAACAACGAAACACAAUUCCAUCAAAGCGUGUACUGAGUCAGGUCAGCCUUACUGAGUCAAGUUGUAACCGAUCAUGACCUGCAAUAUUGCCGCAACACCCAAGCAACUGUGAUGUAUCACUGCAGUCUCGAGAUUGAAUUAGAACACCAAAUUAGAGAGUAAGAGAGUCACCUACAGGUUGAAGAGGAUGGGUAGAUUCACUUUUCCGACGACGGUGUCGGCCGUAAAUCGACGAACGGUGAAGCAGCCUUGACAUUGGAAAGUUUAAUUAAGGAAAGGAGUCAAGGCGGUGUACGAUUUGAGUAUCAGUUGAAUAUUCCAAUUUAAGAUGCAACACACGUCAUUCGUGAAUGAUUCGUGAAGCUAGGCUUCGCGACAUCCAGCAUUUUCCA
This 620-nucleotide long non-coding RNA is filed under the name Trifolium pratense (red clover). RNAcentral describes it as "long non-coding RNA (TPRA_LNC003507)". Lineage: Eukaryota; Viridiplantae; Streptophyta; Magnoliopsida; Fabales; Fabaceae. The record is from RNAcentral.